UGUGCCUACGGGAGGCAGCAGUGAGGAAUAUUGGUCAAUGGACGAGAGUCUGAACCAGCCAAGUAGCGUGAAGGAUGACUGCCCUAUGGGUUGUAAACUUCUUUUAUAUGGGAAUAAAAUGUUCCACGUGUGGGAUUUUGUAUGUACCAUAUGAAUAAGGAUCGGCUAACUCCGUGCCAGCAGCCGCGGUAAUACGGAGGAUCCGAGCGUUAUCCGGAUUUAUUGGGUUUAAAGGGCGCGCAGGCGGAAUGUCAAGUCAGCGGUAAAAUUUCGGGGCUCAACCCCGUCGGGCCGUUGAAACUGGC
This 305-nucleotide ribosomal RNA is filed under the name uncultured bacterium. Its description in RNAcentral is "bacterial SSU rRNA". It matches the Rfam family "Bacterial small subunit ribosomal RNA", at positions 334 to 637 of the family's 1533-position model. The record is from RNAcentral.